RNAcentral lists this ribosomal RNA (292 nucleotides) under uncultured bacterium. Its description in RNAcentral is "partial 16S ribosomal RNA". The record is from RNAcentral.
GGACUACUGGGGUUUCUAAUCCUGUUUGCUCCCCACGCUUUCGCGCCUGAGCGUCAGCCGUCGGCCAGGGCACUGCCUUCGCCAUUGGUGUUCCUCCGGAUCUCUACGCAUUUCACCGCUCCACCCGGAAUUCCAUGCCCCUCUCCGACGCUCAAGCCUGCCCGUCUGAAUGGACCUCUCCCAGUUAAGCCGAGAGCUUUCACCACCCACGCGGCAGGCCGCCUGCGCGCCCUUUACGCCCAGUAACUCCGGACAACGCUCGUCUCCUACGUAUUACCGCGGCUGCUGGCAC